This is a non-coding RNA of Triticum aestivum (bread wheat), 137 nucleotides long. Lineage: Eukaryota; Viridiplantae; Streptophyta; Magnoliopsida; Poales; Poaceae. The record is from Rfam.
UAUACACUCCCUCCGUCCCAAAUUUUUUGUCUUAGAUUUGUCUAAAUACUGAUGUAUCUAGUUACAUUUGAGUGUUUUAGAUACAUCUGUAUCUAGACAAAUCUAAGACAAGAAUUUUGGGACGGAGGGAGUACAUC